This 484-nucleotide ribosomal RNA is filed under the name uncultured bacterium. Its description in RNAcentral is "partial 16S ribosomal RNA". It matches the Rfam family "Bacterial small subunit ribosomal RNA", at positions 30 to 507 of the family's 1533-position model. The record is from RNAcentral.
AUUGAACGCUGGCGGCAGGCCUAACACAUGCAAGUCGAGCGGAUGAAGGGAGCUUGCGCCUGGAUUCAGCGGCGGACGCGUGAGUAAUGCCUAGGAAUCUGCCUGGUAGUGGGGGAUAACGUCCGGAAACGGGCGCUGAUACCGCAUACGUCCUGCGGGAGAAAGUGGGGGAUCUUUGGACCUCACGCUAUCAGAUGAGCCUAGGUCGGAUUAGCUAGUUGGUGGGGUAAAGGCCUACCAAGGCGACGAUCCGUAACUGGACUGACUGGAUGAUCAGUCACACUAGAACUGAGACACGGUCCAGAGUACUACGGGAGGCAGCAGUGGGGAAUAUUGGACAAUGGGCGAAAGCCUGAUCCAGCGAUGCCGCGUCUGUGAAGAAGGUCUUGGGAGUGUAAAGCACUUUAAGUGGGGAGAAAGGGCAGUAAGUUAAUACCUUGCUGUUUUGACGUUACCAACAGAAUAAGCACCGGCUAACUUCGUG